GAUGAACGCUAGCGGCAGGCCUAAUACAUGCAAGCCGAACGGCAAGGUUGAUAGCAAUUUUGGUCCUAGAGUGGCGCAAGGGUGCGUAACACGUAUGCAACCUGCCCUCGACAUUAGGAUAACUCCCCGAAAGGGGAAUUAAUCCCCCAUAACAGCAUCAGCUGCCAUCUGGGUAUUGUUAAGCCUCAAGGGGUCGCGGUUGAGCCUGCGGUUAAUGAGUUAGUUGGGGGGGAAAAGGCGACCCAAGCCGGUGAUCAAUAGGGGUUCAGAGAGGUAGGUCCCGCACGGUGGCACUGAGAUACGGGCCAGACUACUACGGCAGGCAGCAGUAGGGAAGAUUGGAUAAUGGUUGCAAGACUGAGCCAGCCAUGCCGCGUGCAGGAAGAAGGGCUUCUGGGUCGUGAACUGCUUUUUCCUGCGGAUAAAAUACCCGUGCGCGGGGAAUUGAAGGUAACAGGUGAAUAAGCAACGGCUAACUACGUG
This 483-nucleotide ribosomal RNA is filed under the name uncultured bacterium. Its description in RNAcentral is "partial 16S ribosomal RNA". It matches the Rfam family "Bacterial small subunit ribosomal RNA", at positions 28 to 507 of the family's 1533-position model. The record is from RNAcentral.